GACGAACGCUGGCGGCGUGCUUAACACAUGCAAGUCGAACGGUGAAGGGACCGGUUUUUGCUGGUUCUGGAUGAGUGGCGAACGGGUGAGUAACACGUGAGUAACCUGCCCCCUUCUUCUGGAUAACCGCAUGAAAGUGUGGCUAAUACGGGAUAUUCUGCGCCUGCUGCAUGGUGGGUGUGGGAAAGGUAUUGUUUCGGUGGGGGAUGGGCUCGCGGCCUAUCAGCUUGUUGGUGGGGUGAUGGCCUACCAAGGCGGUGACGGGUAGCCGGCCUGAGAGGGUGGACGGUCACACUGGGACUGAGACACGGCCCAGACUCCUACGGGAGGCAGCAGUGGGGAAUAUUGCACAAUGGGCGCAAGCCUGAUGCAGCGACGCCGCGUGAGGGAUGGAGGCCUUCGGGUUGUAAACCUCUUUCGCCAGUGAAGCAGGCCUGUCCCUUUUGUGGGUGGGUUGACGGUAGCUGGAGAAGAAGCGCCGGCUAACUACGUG
Molecule: ribosomal RNA, 493 nt
Filed under: uncultured bacterium
Lineage: Bacteria
Description: partial 16S ribosomal RNA
Rfam family: Bacterial small subunit ribosomal RNA
Source: RNAcentral